GAUGAACGCUGGCGGCGUGCCUAAUACAUGCAAGUCGAGCGAACGGACGAGAAGCUUGCUUCUCUGAUGUUAGCGGCGGACGGGUGAGUAACACGUGGAUAACCUACCUAUAAGACUGGGGUAACUUCGGGAAACCGGAGCUAAUACCGGAUAAUAUUUUGAACCGCAUGGUUCAAAAGUGAAAGACGGUCUUGCUGUCACUUAUAGAUGGAUCCGCGCUGCAUUAGCUAGUUGGUAAGGUAACGGCUUACCAAGGCAACGAUGCAUAGCCGACCUGAGAGGGGGGUCCGGCCACCCGGAACCUGGACACGGUCCCGAAUCCUAAGGGGAGGAGCAGUAGGGAAUCUUCCGCAAUGGGCGAAAGCCUGACGGAGCAACGCCGCGUGAGUGAUGAAGGUCUUCGGAUCGUAAAACUCUGUUAUUAGGGAAGAACAUAUGUGUAAGUAACUGUGCACAUCUUGACGGUACCUAAUCAGAAAGCCACGGCUAACUACGUG
Molecule: ribosomal RNA, 497 nt
Filed under: uncultured bacterium
Lineage: Bacteria
Description: partial 16S ribosomal RNA
Rfam family: Bacterial small subunit ribosomal RNA
Source: RNAcentral